GAGAAGGCUUGGUGCUGCUGCAGUGGAUAUGUGUCAUGUUGCUUUGGGGAUUGCUGAAGCAUAUUGGGAAUAUCGUCUAAAGCCAUGGGACAUGGCUGCAGGAGUUCUGAUAGUUGAAGAGGCUGGAGGGACAGUUUCGUGUAUGGAUGGAGGAAGUUUUUCAGUAUUUGAUAGAUCUGUCUUGGUAUCCAAUGGUUUGCUCCAUGCAAAGCUCCUUGAGAAAAUUGGUCCAGCAACGGAAAAUUUGAAGAGCAAAGGGAUUGAUUUCUCAGUGUGGUUCAAGCCAGAAAAUUACCAUACAGAAGUUUGAUACGUCCUGUGUUUUGUCCUUUAGAUGUGCUGCUUGAAAGAUUCUUCUACAAUCAGAUUUUGAUUAGGUCGGUAUUUGCAUUUGUAUUUUCUAUUUUACAUAUUAUUGUAUGGAACUGGUCAAAUAUACGUCGG
Molecule: unclassified non-coding RNA, 444 nt
Filed under: Hevea brasiliensis (rubber tree)
Lineage: Eukaryota; Viridiplantae; Streptophyta; Magnoliopsida; Malpighiales; Euphorbiaceae
Source: RNAcentral